CACAGUGGAUGACUCGGCUUGGGUUGCUGAAGAAGAACGCGGCAAGCUGCGAUAAUCUCUGGCUAGACGCAUGCGGUCAUUGAACCAGAGGUUUUCUAAUUGCUCCGGAAGGAGCGGGAACACUGUGAAGUGAAACAUCUCAGUAACAGUAGGAAAAGAAAUCAAUCGAGAUACUGCUAGUAAGGGCGACUGAAAGCAGUAUAAGACAAACCGAACGCUUUUCAGUAAUGGAGAGUGAAUGUGGUCGAAUUUUGUUUUAAUCAUCCAAAAUGAGACGAAGUGCUCUGAAAUGAGCUACAAUAUAGGGUGAAAGUCCCGUAGUCAAAAUUUUGAAUGAUGGCAGAAUUCAAGAGUAGUUGGCACCGAAACGUGCUAAUGAAUAUAGGUGCUGUUAGCAUCUAAUCUUAAAUACAAACCAAGACCGAUAGCAGAAUAGUACCGUGAGGGAAAGUUGAAAAGAACCGUGAAAAGGGGUUAAAAGCGCCUGAAACUGUGUGGUUAUAGGGAGAUACUGCUACUGACAUCUGUAAGAAAGUAAUAAUUGCAGAUUUGGUAGUAAGUAUCGGCCGUCCAGAAUCAUGGGGUGGAGAGCAUAAUUUUAUGGCAAGCCGAAAGGCACAGCGAAAGCGAAAAUAUGCAUCUGGCUUUGCCAGAGAGAUAUGUGGUGCUAAUACGCCAUUAGUCAUAGGGUUAUAACUUGAUGCCACACGAUCUAAUCCGGGGCAGGAUGAAGCCCUAGCAAUAGGGUGGAGGUCCGAAGAGAUUUCGAGCUCAGUUCAUCCUCGUGACCCUGGAAUAGGAGUGAAAUGCUAAUCGUGUGUGGGGGUAGCAAGUUCCUCUCGAAAUAGACCUUAGUCUAUUCUGACCGGAGAUUGGUUAUUGAGUAGAGCACCAAUUAGACAUUCGGGAGCGAAAGCUCUUGGUGUCUUGUUGAACUCCGAACAAAUAAUCAUCGUGGAAGGUCGGAAACGGGGCAGGGGGGUAAGCUCCUUGUCCAAAAGGAAAACAAUCCAGACUAUGGUUAAGGUCCCUAAAUUAUAACUAAGUGCAUCAAACCAGUUACAGAUCUAAAACAGCGGGAAGGUAGGCUCAGAAGUAGCCAUCCUUUAAUAAGUGUGUAACAACUUACCCGCAUAGAUUUGUGGCUAGGAAAAUGGACGGGGCUAAGCUAUAUACCGAGACCAUAGAACAUAAAAGUUGGUAGAGAGGCGUUCUGAAAGAGGAGAAGCAAUUUCAUGAGAAAUUGUGGAUCUUUUAGAAGUGAGAAUUCCACUGGCAGUAACAGCAAAGCAAGGUGAGAAACCUUGUCAUCGAAGGGGCAUGGGUUCCUUGACAAUGAUCGUCAGUCAAGGGUUAGUCGAUCCUAAGGCAAAAGUAAUUCAAUAUACCGAAAGGGAAACAGGUUAAUAUUCCUGUACCUCACAAGUACAUUUUUGGCAACAAAAGAUAUCUUUCCAACACAUACAGAUAUGUCAGGUAGAACUAAAAUUCUAUCUAAACAGUAUAGUGCUAUGGAGUAUCAUCACGAUGAGAAGUAGUAUAAACUGUGAAAGUGCUUGUAUGAGCAUCUGGCUGAUUCCGUGUGUCCAUGAAAAGGAAAGAUGUUGGAUCUUGUGUGUCCGUACUUAGAACCGACACUGGUGCCCCUGGGCGAGUAACCCAAGAUGUUGUAGGGUAACCCUGGUUAGGGAACUCGGCAAAUUAGCCCCUUUACCUUGGUAUAAGGGGUGCCUGCUAAUAACAUAGCAGGUCUCAGUAACAAAGACGGUCCGGCUGUUUAAUAAAAACACAGCUCUCCGUCAGCCAGAAAUGGUGUAUAUGGAGGGCGAUGCCUGCUCAGUGGUGGAAUCUUAAACUCCCUUAGGGAGCGAAGGACCGCUAAACAGCGGGGGUAACUAUGACCCUCUUAAGGUAGCGUAAUACCUCGCCGCUUAAUUGGUGGCUUGCACGAAAGACUUAACGAGGCCGUUACUGUCCCAACCAGGGACCUAGUGAAGCUACUAUUCCGGUGAACAAGCCGGAGACUCCCAGUGGGGCACGAAGACCCCGUGGAGCUUUACUGUAUCCUGUCGUGUGAUUAUAACUGCGAUAGCGCAGAGUAAGUGGGAGGCGUCGAAGCCGGGCUUUUGGGUCCGGCAGAGCCAAAAGUGAAACACCACUCUUUUGUCGUUAUAAUCAUUACCUUACUUUGUAAGGGACACCGAUAGGUGGGCAGUUCGCCUGGGGCGGUACACAGUUGAAAGAAUAUCGACUGUAUCCAAUGAUAUGCUCAUUCGGGACAGAACUCCGAAGUUGACGAUAAGUCGAAAAGCAUGUCUGAAUGUGUUCCGAACAAUAAGGAACACAUAAACGAAAGUUUGGACUAGCGAACCCUGAAACCUAACUAAUAUAGGUUCAGGCUGAUAGAAAAGCUACCCCGGGGAUAACAGGCUUGUCACAGGCAAGAGUACACAUCGACCCUGUGGCUUGGUACCUCGCCGUCGGCCCUUUCCAUCCUGGGUGUGCAGAAGCACCCAAGGGUUGGGUUGUUCAUCCAUCAAAGGAGAACGCGAGCUGGGUUUAGAACGUCGCGAGACAGUUUGGCGGUACCUACUGGGAGUGCUGAUAAUCUGAGGGGAAAGUUCAUUUAGUACGAAAGGAACGAUGAACUGUAGCCUCUAGUGUAUCAGUUAUUCUCAAGAGUAAGCUGAGUAGCCACGCUAUGAAUGAUAAAGGCUGAACGCAUCUAAGCCUGA
RNAcentral lists this ribosomal RNA (2735 nucleotides) under Candidatus Altarchaeales archaeon HGW-Altarchaeales-2. RNAcentral describes it as "bacterial LSU rRNA". It matches the Rfam family "Archaeal large subunit ribosomal RNA". The record is from RNAcentral. Lineage: Archaea; Nanobdellati; Candidatus Altarchaeota; Candidatus Altarchaeia; Candidatus Altarchaeales.